Molecule: small nuclear RNA, 108 nt
Organism: Neogale vison (American mink)
Lineage: Eukaryota; Metazoa; Chordata; Mammalia; Carnivora; Mustelidae
Source: Ensembl
GUGCUUGCCUAGGCAGCACGUGUGCUAAAAUUGGAAUGCUCCAGAGAAGAUUCAGCCUGGCCCCUGCACAUGGACGACUCGCGGAUUCCUGACAUGUGCUCCAAGGCA